UACGUAGGGUGCGAGCGUUAAUCGGAAUUACUGGGCGUAAAGUGUGCGCAGGCGGCAGAGCAAGUCGAGUGUGAAAGCCCCGGGCUUAACUUGGGAAUUGCGCUCGAAACUACUUUGCUGGAGUGUGGCAGAGGAAGGUGGAAUUCCACGUGUAGCAGUGAAAUGCGUAGAGAUGUGGAGGAACACCGAUGGCGAAGGCAGCCUCCUGGGCCAGCACUGACGCUCAUGCACGAAAGCGUGGGGAGCAAACAGG
Molecule: ribosomal RNA, 253 nt
Filed under: uncultured bacterium
Lineage: Bacteria
Description: partial 16S ribosomal RNA
Rfam family: Bacterial small subunit ribosomal RNA
Source: RNAcentral